Molecule: long non-coding RNA, 486 nt
Organism: Dermochelys coriacea (leatherback sea turtle)
Lineage: Eukaryota; Metazoa; Chordata; Testudines; Dermochelyidae
Exons: 4
Source: RefSeq, a predicted model, not a curated record
AAAUUACAGGAAUCUCCACUAGCAGGAAAAGCAGGAGAACAAGGGACGGGGAAGGUUCCAUGUCCCCCAGACUAUCCCUCUCUCAGGGAGAACGCUCUUGGUCUCCCCUUCUCUUGCAGCCAUGUAAACUGACGCUCUUCCGCUGCGCAGAGUUCCUCGGGUGGGCUCAUUUGAAGACGCUGUUCCGCAGCAUGGCCUGGGAUGGAUCCUCACAGCUCUUGAAAUGUGUCUGGAUCUGUUUGAUGCAGAACAAUGAGAACCACUUCCCCAAAUUCCUCUUCCAGGCCUUACAGUAACUGAAAAGCUCACAGACAACAAUAAGACAUUCAGCAGCCCAAUUCAUUGGAAAUACUAUCCACCAUUACUGCGACUUGUUGUCUGAAACAGUGAAUGAAGAUGGCAUCUCCCGCCUGUAUGAAGCUUUUCACGAAGUGCCUUUGAAAUCAGACAGGACCACGUGGUACAUCCUCAGCAGACAUUAUAAAU